RNAcentral lists this long non-coding RNA (200 nucleotides) under Elaeis guineensis (African oil palm). RNAcentral's name for it is "long non-coding RNA (EGUI_LNC026319)". Lineage: Eukaryota; Viridiplantae; Streptophyta; Magnoliopsida; Arecales; Arecaceae. The record is from RNAcentral.
GCCGAUAUCCUGACAUCUGGUAUGUUUUCUUCGAUAAAUCUGGUAGAAGUCCCUUACCACCAUCCUCGAAGUGCACGAAGAUUGCCAAAUCUUAAUGUCCUGGCUACUGUUGAGUGGGAGUGCCAAGGAUUGCAUGCACUCUGUCAAGGGCAUCCCAAAAAAUUAGGCCACCACAUCUGGAUCCCAUUCUCUGCCAUUUG